Molecule: ribosomal RNA, 465 nt
Filed under: Vreelandella stevensii
Lineage: Bacteria; Pseudomonadati; Pseudomonadota; Gammaproteobacteria; Oceanospirillales; Halomonadaceae
Description: partial 16S ribosomal RNA
Rfam family: Bacterial small subunit ribosomal RNA
Source: RNAcentral
CCUACGGGUGGCAGCAGUGGGGAAUAUUGGACAAUGGGCGAAAGCCUGAUCCAGCCAUGCCGCGUGUGUGAAGAAGGCCUUCGGGUUGUAAAGCACUUUCAGUGGGGAAGAAAUCCUUGGGGCUAAUACCCUCGAGGAAGGACAUCACCCACAGAAGAAGCACCGGCUAACUCCGUGCCAGCAGCCGCGGUAAUACGGAGGGUGCGAGCGUUAAUCGGAAUUACUGGGCGUAAAGCGCGCGUAGGCGGUCUGAUAAGCCGGUUGUGAAAGCCCCGGGCUCAACCUGGGAACGGCAUCCGGAACUGUCAGGCUAGAGUGCAGGAGAGGAAGGUAGAAUUCCCGGUGUAGCGGUGAAAUGCGUAGAGAUCGGGAGGAAUACCAGUGGCGAAGGCGGCCUUCUGGACUGACACUGACGCUGAGGUGCGAAAGCGUGGGUAGCAAACAGGAUUAGAUACCCCAGUAGUC